AGAGUUUGAUCCUGGCUCAGAAUCAACGCUGGCGGCGCGCCUAACACAUGCAAGUCGCACGAGAAAGUGGAGCAAUCCAUGAGUACAGUGGCGUACGGGUGAGUAACACGUGGAUCAUCUGCCUGGAGUGGGGAAUAACGCUGGGAAACCGGCGCUAAUACCGCAUAUUCCCGAGAGGGGAAAGCAGCAAUGCGCUCGAG
RNAcentral lists this ribosomal RNA (200 nucleotides) under uncultured bacterium. RNAcentral describes it as "partial 16S ribosomal RNA". It matches the Rfam family "Bacterial small subunit ribosomal RNA", at positions 8 to 223 of the family's 1533-position model. The record is from RNAcentral.